This 773-nucleotide ribosomal RNA is filed under the name uncultured Neocallimastigales. RNAcentral describes it as "partial large subunit ribosomal RNA". It matches the Rfam family "Eukaryotic large subunit ribosomal RNA", at positions 23 to 619 of the family's 3401-position model. Lineage: Eukaryota; Fungi; Neocallimastigomycota; Neocallimastigomycetes; Neocallimastigales. The record is from RNAcentral.
AGAGAGAGACAUGCGCGCAUAUCAAUAAGCGGAGGAAAAGAAACUAACAAGGAUUCCCUUAGUAACGGCGAGUGAAGCGGGAAGAGCUCAAAUUUGAAAUCUUCAAGGUUUUACCUUGACGAAUUGUAGUUUAAAGAAGUGUUUUCUGCUGAAGUUUUGGUAAAAGUUCUUUGGAAUAGGACAUCAUAGAGGGUGAGAAUCCCGUAUUUGACCAUUAUUUUCAGCUUUGUGAUACACUUUCAAAGAGUCGGAUUGUUUGGGAAUGCAGUCCAAAAUGGGUGGUAAAUUUCAUCUAAAGCUAAAUAUUGGCGAGAGACCGAUAGCGAACAAGUACCGUGAGGGAAAGAUGAAAAGAACUUUGAAAAGAGAGUUAAACAGUACGUGAAAUUGUCAAAAGGGAAGCGUUUGACACCAGUGUUGUUUUCUCGAAAAUCAAUUAAAAAUGGCUCGAUUUUGUAUUGCUUGAGACCUUAAAAGCUCACUGUACAUUUUUCGUGUCUUUUUUAAUGCACUUUUCGUUUAACAAGUCAACAUCAGUUUCUUUUGUUGUAAAAGGGUCAUUGGAAGGUGGCUUUCUUUUCGGAGAAAGUGUUUAUAGCCUUUGGCCUCUGCAAUCGGAGAGACUGAGGUCUGCAGCGUAGACUCUUCGGGGUUAGAUACAUUUGUGCUAAGUUAUAGCUUUUAUAGACAACUUGUUGACUAUAAUUAGUCUUGUAGCUUACUCGCUUAUGCUAUUUUACCUACGCUUAGGAUGUUGAAGAUGUAGCACAUCA